AUUCACUACUGCUUAAUACAAUCAUGCCUUGCUGUGGGUUUUAACUUUGUUUUGGGUGGGGGAAAGACUUCAGGUAUAGAAUGUAUGAAUUUCCAAUUUACCUUUUAAUGAAAUAGCAGGAUUCUUGGGCCAAACAAGUAAAUUAUUCACCUGAAGGAUAUAGAAUGAUUCACUCCUUUCUUGCUCCCUCCUCCCUCCAUCUUUCCACAAACACUGAUGAAUGAUUAUGCUGGACAAAGAGCUUCUAGAGAAGGGACAAUUGUGUUCCUCCACAAACCAGGUCACUGGAAAGGUAAAUGUUUCAUCUUCCAAUAUUCGCUGGCACCAUGAUUUAAGGGUGACUCAGGGGAAGUGCUGGUUGAACAAGGCCCCACCUCCCAAAGCCAGCAACGGCUGAGGAUAGAGCUUUCCCUGGUGGACAAAGGAGCUGUCUUCUAGUCAAAGUUAAGGCCCUAUACUUGCUAGGAACUCUGAAAUAUUCUUAGGACUCCUAUACAAAAAAGCUGUGAUGGAUAAUACAAAGACCAUCUAAAUCUCCAUGAGAAUAGCAGCUUAGAAAUAAAC
This 564-nucleotide long non-coding RNA is filed under the name Vulpes vulpes (red fox). RNAcentral describes it as "lncRNA (ENSVVUG00000002656.1)". The record is from RNAcentral. Lineage: Eukaryota; Metazoa; Chordata; Mammalia; Carnivora; Canidae.